GUCCGGGUGGCGGAAUUGGCAGACGCGCUAGCUUGAGGUGCUAGUGACCUUUAACGGUUGUGGGGGUUCAAGUCCCCCCUCGGACA
Transfer RNA from Nocardioides sp. PD653, 86 nucleotides. It matches the Rfam family "tRNA". Rfam says of the family: Transfer RNA (tRNA) molecules are approximately 80 nucleotides in length. Their secondary structure includes four short double-helical elements and three loops (D, anti-codon, and T loops). NCBI's taxonomy places the organism in Bacteria, Bacillati, Actinomycetota, Actinomycetes, Propionibacteriales, Nocardioidaceae. The record is from Rfam.